CCUUUGUUCAGUUUUCGGAAUUCCGGUUUGGAUUCAAAUGUUGCCGGUCUGGACAUGUCUGGGAAACGACAGGGCGCCCGUAGCGUUGGGUUUGCCCUAAAAAACCGAUAACGAAAUGAUAAAUGAAGUUACAUGAAUACAUGACCCCAAGAAGUCGUUAAUUUAAUCGUCUGCGUGUUGUCUAGCCUAAUGUAAGUGUGUAACGAGGUAAGCCGUGUUAAGCUCGUUAGGGCGUUAAGAUCGUUCAGGUUAUAUUUUAAGAAUUCAAAUUUCAGUUACUCCAUACUCCACUCGAUGAGAGACGACGUGAAACUUUUGAUACCAUAUCUGACCAAAUAUUGUUUGACAACCGUUUUCCCGUAAACUAAAAUCAGUAACAAAACUCGUUAACGUUAAUCACUUUUUCUUUUAAUUGGUUUAUUUCGAAAUCUUUUUGGUGUUUGUUUUAUAAUGGAAAUAAUUGGACAUUAUCAUGAAAAAAGUACCUUCCGUAUAAUCAAUGAAUAUUGCAAAAGUUGCCGGGAAUAUGCGUGUUAGUUGCUUCUUUGUUCCCUUUAUCGAAUUCAAG
This 568-nucleotide long non-coding RNA is filed under the name Daphnia pulicaria. RNAcentral describes it as "uncharacterized LOC124328658". The record is from RNAcentral. Lineage: Eukaryota; Metazoa; Arthropoda; Branchiopoda; Diplostraca; Daphniidae.